RNAcentral lists this ribosomal RNA (255 nucleotides) under uncultured bacterium. RNAcentral's name for it is "partial 16S ribosomal RNA". It matches the Rfam family "Bacterial small subunit ribosomal RNA", at positions 524 to 776 of the family's 1533-position model. The record is from RNAcentral.
UACGUAGGGGGCUAGCGUUGUCCGGAAUCAUUGGGCGUAAAGCGCGUGUAGGCGGUUCGGUAAGUCCGCUGUGAAAGUCGGGGGGCUCAACCCUCGGAUGCCGGUGGAUACUGUCGGGCUUGAGGUACGGAAGAGGCGAGUGGAAUUCCUGGUGUAGCGGUGAAAUGCGCAGAUAUCAGGAGGAACACCAAUUGCGAAGGCAGCUCGCUGGGACGUUACUGACGCUGAGACGCGAAAGCGUGGGGAGCAAACAGG